Molecule: unclassified non-coding RNA, 317 nt
Filed under: uncultured Thelephoraceae
Lineage: Eukaryota; Fungi; Basidiomycota; Agaricomycetes; Thelephorales; Thelephoraceae
Description: sequence contains ITS2
Source: RNAcentral
AACGCACCUUGCGCCCUUUGGCUAUUCCGGAGGGCAUGCCUGUUUGAGUAUCAUGAACAUCUCAACUCCUCACGGUUUUCCCGUGACGAGCUUGGACUUUGGGGGUCUUGCUGGCCUGCAGGUCGGCUCCUCUCAAAUGAAUCAGCUUGCCGGUGUUUGGUGGCGUCACAGGUGUGAUAACUAUCUACGCUUGUGGUUUUCCGCCAGGUAACCUCCAGCGAUGGGGGUUCACUGGAGCUCACAAACGUCUCUCCUCGGUGAGGACAGCUCUUUGAACGUUUGAUCUCAAAUCAGGUAGGACUACCCGCUGAACUUAA